UUCACUUUUGUACAACAGAAGCUAACACAGUAUUGUGAAGCAAUUAUACUCCAAUAAAGAUCUAUUAAAAAACAAACAAAAAAAAAGGAAAUGCGAAUCCAGUCCAUCCAUGGUGCAAUGCUUAAGGGCAUAACCUGAAAGCAGCUGCCUGGACUUGACUCCUGGGAUACUACUUAACUUGCUGUGGUCUUAGGCAAGUGAUUUCACUGAUCUGCUCAACCCUGAGCAAGUUACCUGUCUGUGCUUCAGUUCUUCCAGCUGUAAAAUAAGGAAAGGGAUAUUGAUGAACUAAGGUUUUUGUGAGAAUUAGGUAAAAUAAGACAUAUAAAAUGCUUCAUUAUGAGUGAAAACAAUUCCAUCUAUAGUAAGCAUUGUAUAAUUUCUUGCUGCAUUACUUGGUAUUACUCCUGAGGUGUUCAAGAAGUAUUUGGACUAUGUCUUGGAGAAGCUGUAGGAAGGAUUCUUGUGAUGCAGGUGAGGUAAAGCUAGAUUUCCUUCAAGGUCCUGGAUUAGUCAGGAUAAGCUAAAUUAUGCCAGUGUAACAAAUAAACCUUGAGAAUCUCAAAGACUUACCUGAAUCAAGGUUUACUUCUUGCUCGCAGAUCUAAUACCAGAUCUAAUACAAAUCGGACAUCUCCCUGCACACUUCUUCUCCGUAGGAAGUGACUCAGGCUUCUGCAAGCUUGAGGCUUGGCCAUCUCAGCAACUGGCCUCCACAGUCGCCAUGGUAGAAAGAAAGAUCAGCCUGGAAGUGACACAUCACCUUGCUUACCAUGCAUUGGCCAAAACUAGUCACAUGGCCCACCUGAAUUUGGGGAAAUGGUGGUGGUAAACUAAGAGAUAUGGAUAUAGAUAUGAAUAAGCAGAUAUCUUUAAACCUUCUAAAGCUGAAACUCUAAAUAGACCUGUCUCCAUUCCCACAUGAGCUGUCCAGUUGUGUGAAAAAACUGGUCCGGAACCACUGGAACUCUCUCAAAGUCAUCUUAAUGAUCUUCUUGACUAUGUGCAUUUCUUAAUGGAAAACAAUUAUUUGAGACUAAAGCUAAAAUGCCAGUUAAAUGAAUUGUCCUAUGAUGACCAGAAUUAUCCAUUGGUCAUAUUUUCAAGAUGAAUAACUAGAAAAAAGUUACCCUGAAAAUUAGCCUAUGUCUUAAUAAAGAUCACUAAUUUCUUAAGCCCUGUAGUGUAUAUAUUAUCAGCAUCCGUUGAUUAACAUGUCCCAAACUUGACAAUUUUUUCCUUCCCACCUCUGGAUGGCUUUACCACUUCAUCACAGACAGAACUCACUCUGUUUAUCUGACCAAAAAGAUCUGCAGAAAAGUUACAUUUAAAGACAUGAUCAUAAGAACUUUGAUAGCUAUCUAUCGUCAGUUUUUCUUCCUCUGAGGGGAGAGAUAUUUCCCUUGGUUCUCUCUCUUACCUGGUCAUUAUUUUUAACCUCCCAGUUAAAGGGUCUCACUUCACCCUUCUUGCCAUCUUAAGAGAAAAAAGAAAGAAAUGAGAGAAGGAUACGUGUUCAGUCUGUGUUCUCAGAGUCAAGUUAAGGGGAAUCAGGGAGAAAGAUCGGACAGUUUCUUUUCAAAGGAACUAACAAACGAAAGUGAUAAAAAAGCAAACUGACUGAAUCAUCAGCCAAGUUUCAGAUGGUUCAGCCUGACAUGGCUUUUGAAGAAUUCAAAAGCACACAGUGAAUCAUCACGCUGGCCUCAUUGACAACAAUGCCUGCUUUAAAUAAGAUAAACAAGUCUGGUUGGGAACGUUGCAGUAACUCACCCCUUUCUGCAAAGACAGAGCAACUCUCAGGGUAAAGUUGCCCAAAGCUCAAAGGGCUGCACUUCAUGGAGCCAGAGCUGCCUUAUGGGAUCUGAGAAAGCACCCUGCUCCGAGCCUUGAUCUCCGGCUGCUCCCCUGCCGCUGUGAUUGGAGCCUUUCAAGGCUUUGUUUUGGGUUGAGUUUGGGGAGCGGUUGGCCAGAUCUGUUGCUUGAUGAAUGUCUUCACUUUAAUCUGCAAGGCAAAGCCAUACGCUUCAAAGAAAGGCAGACUACAGGAAUAAGGUCAGUGUUCUUUGAAGCCAAGGUUCAAAGAUGAAAUAGCAGUCCCAGUGAAAUGACAAUGUUUAUGAACACACAACCACCUUGACUCUGCAGCCAGGCUGCUCGUGGAGUUCAUGCACCACAAGCUGAGGGGCUGCAAGCCACCCAGGCCUUCCACAGGCACCGAGGCCCUUCUCGUCUCCUGGCCUGUCACUUCGUGCAGCACAAUGAACCCAAAGUGGAGAUUUGGUUUCUCCAUCCUAAUGGAGGUUGGGUGGUCCCCCAGCCAAACCAAUGCUGUAAGCCCUUCAAGGGCAAGAGCUGUGUCAUGAAUUAAUGUGGUGUCCCUCUGAGUGCCAAGCCCAGUGCUCAGCUUAAUAAAUAUGCCAUGACUCAAGUUCCAUCUUGCAGAGCCACUCGAUUUCAGGUCAGCGUUUAUGCUAAACAAGGACCCUUGAAAGGCUGCAAGGUGGAGGGAAUGUUUAUCUCAUAGGACUGGGGGCUGAGAGUCAGUCCCACACCAGUUGUGGCAGCUGAAGGGAUGACUCAGUGAUGGGGAUACCUCAGUGAUGAACACCACUUUUGAAGAGGUCCAGAAAGAUGGCAGCUCUGUCAUUUUCUUCAUCGAGACAUGGCCCAGGCAGGAGGGUGAGGCCCAAGCGACACCAACCACUCCCCUAAAGAAAGAUCGUCAACAAUUGUCUUAUUAUUUAUUUAAAUCUUUGAUGCAUAUUUUUCAAUUAAUAAGUCAACAUUCUUUUUGAACCCCCAGUUUGGGGUCUCUGUCCCCCAACUCUGGGUAACCUUUUACUUCUCAGAGAAAAUAGAAGUUGUAUCGCGUGGAGGGGUUAGGGCGCGUGCUUUGCAGCCAGACUGCAUGGGGCCCGGUCCUCGACCCACCACGUGCUCCAUGAAUGGCAAGUUGCUUACCCUCUGUUAGCUUCAGUUCCUUCAUUGUAAACUGGGGUUGUAGGGAGGAUUAAGUGAUGUGAUGUAGAUAAUGAACUUAGCGUGAUGCUUGAUGCAAAGUAAGCACCCAAUAAAGGUGGAAAUUACUAUUAUUUUUAACUCAUCUGCUUUCCUUCUUUAAUUUUUCCAAUAGUUUUUAUGCACCCUGAAAUCUUUCUGUCUCUCAGGCCUUACACCUACUCCAUCAGCAAAUCCUGCAGCACUUCCUUUGACAUAUCCCAGGAAUCAGGUCCCUUCUCACCCUCUCCACCAUCGCCUCCAUCACCUCUCACCUGGAUCACUGCAAUGAUCUCCACUCCCCACUCUUGCCAUUUUAUGACUUGUUCUCCACACAGAAGCCAAAAUUAUCUUUUAAAAAAAUGUAACCCAGACUAUAUCACCCCUUCACUCAGAACUUUUCAUUGUUUUCCAUCUUUCCCAGUGUAAAGUCCAGACUUUGGCCUUCCAGGCUUCGCCUGAUGUGGUCUCUUCCAUAUUUCCCACCACUCUUUCCCUUGCUUAGUCCACUCCAAGUAGCUGGCAUACUUGUUUUUUCUUAGAACGCAGGGAACAGCUCCCACAAAGGGUCUUUGCACUUGCUGGCCUUUCUAGAACGUCAUGUCCAGCCAACACAUGCAUAGCCCAAUCCCUCACUUUCCUCACGUCUUUGCUCAAAAUCAACCUUAUGAGAGGAGCAGCUGUAUCCUUAAUUUCACACCCCUUCUUGUCCCUCUAAUUCUCCUCACCUUGCUUCAGUCUUAGUAGCAUUUAUGAGCACCUGACAAAUUAUACACGUAUCUGCUUAUUUUCUGCUUUCCCACUAGGAUGUAAACUCCAGAACAAGCAUUUUGUCUGUCUUGUUCCUGACACCAAGAACAGUGCCUGGCAAUGACAAGUUCUCAACAAAUAUUUGUUGAAUCCUUCUCUCUUUCCCUCUUAGCUCAGCAAAUAAAGGACCCUUAUCUCUUCCACAUCUCUGUGCUUGAUUCUCUCCCUUCCCACCUUCUAAAGGCACCGGCCCCUUUUCUCAACCAGGAACCUGUUCACCUCCUUCAUCGUAAAAAUCCUCCCCUCACCCCUUCUGUUUCAAUAGCUGUCAACUCGCACACCUUCCAUUGCUGCAAAUCUUCUCAGAAGAAUGGCCGUCUGCCUGCCCCCCUACUGCUCCCUCUCAGCCAUCAGCCCUCAUCCUCUGCCCAUUUCCAUGGACUCUGUUCCCUCAGAGGUCGCCGCUGCCCUCUGACCCUGUUAGUCCUCCUCCAGCUGAACUUGACUGACCUUUCCACCUCGUCCUCUCUCCUUGAGAACAGUCUUCCCUUAGUUGUGGAAGAUGCUGUUCUUUCCUGGUUCUCUUUUAUUUAUUUGUCUGUUCUUCCUCCCCUUCUCUGCUAGUUCUUCUUCCCAUUUGCAUUUGCCAGAAUUCCAUCCUCUGCUCUCUUUACAUUCCCCUCUGCACAUGUAUGCCCCCCUUUUUCUUUUCUGUGAUGUAGGAACGUGCUUCUCAAGCUUGAGCCUGUAUCAGUGUCUCAUGGAAAGGUGAUGAAAACUUCUCCACUUCAGAACAGACAAUAGAUCACUCCACUGGCUAAGGCAUUACUUAUCUGACCAAAAUGGCUCUAGGAAAAAGAAUCUCUGUGAUUUCAUCAACUUUUCCUACUGUUUCUUCAGUGCUAGGCUGAUGGGAUAAUCACCAAUGCUGUGAAUCACAAAACCGUUUUUUGCUGUCAUAUACAUGGAAAUAUUUGAUUUGUUUAUAAUUGAGCGGCCAGUAGUGUUUCCCUAGAGAGGAAAAGAGUAGUGGAAAUUUACUUACAAGUGAAAAUAAAUACAGAGUUCCAAUUCCUAACAUACAAUAUCCAACUUCAGUAGAAUACACCUUCAUCUUUGCUAAUAAAAUCUCCUGUGCUUAAACAAUAAAGUUAAGAAAAAUAGAAUUUUCUCUUUUUCUUCAAAGUCACACUUGUCCCUCUUUGCCUGUAAACAGAAGGAGUUUCUGGGUGACAGGGUGGGGGACAUGUCUGGAUGUUGUAUAGGUAGAGAAAAACUAAAGGUAAAAUCAAGGCGGAAUAAUGAAUUGUGUUCUUCUGGAACUAAAGGAAUUAGGUAUACAGGAUCCUCAAAAAAUAUAGGAAUUUGACAGGAUGGAAUGCAAUAGGCUGUUUUUCCUUUUUAAUUUAAUAUAUUUUCUGAAUAUAGUAUUCUGGGAUUAUUGCUACAAAAAGAUGACACAAAUAGUAUUACCAUCAUCCUUCCUCAAUCCUAUUAGAUAUUAUCCAAAUAAGUUCCUCAAUUCUCCGCUUUCAAUAUUUCAAUAUGGAGACACAGGCUUUGGUGAACUAUAGCAGGAAGACCAAUAAGAGAAGGAUGGGGAAACUGACUAGAAAAUUAGAGCUCAGUACCCCAGCCAUUGUGCCAGUACAGGAAUUUUGCCUCAAGCUGAGCUUCCUUUGCCCUUUAGAAAAUCAGAAUUGUGAUGAGCCCAAGAUCUGAGGAGGAAGUAUUAAAUAGACAUGCUCCCCAACAGAGGGCCUCCUCACACUAACUUUGUGAGGUUUUUUUUUUUAUUUCUUGCAUGACUUGAGAGGUAUUCAAAACAUUCCAUCUGUGAAGAAGCUGUUACUUUGGCCCUAGAAUUCUGCUUGCACAUCUCAUGCUGCCUUUGGUGAGACUGAGGAGUGAAGACCCUCAGCUAAUGGGAUCGUUCUUUUUUCUUCUGAGUAUCGGCCUCUGGGGUAGCGAGGCUCUCCAUUCCUGAACUGGGGAGGUGAUGUCUUUUAAAUGUGCAUUUGGUUAUAUAACGGUGUCACUACUUUACGGUGACAUUGCCCAUUCUAAAAUUAAAACUGAGUAUUCUGUCCCUUCACUGAAAAAUCCCUGGUUCUAGUCCCUGAGAAUAUCUGAGGGGUUAAAGAUCACUGUGGUUUCUGUGCAAAAAGGAACAGCAGUGGAAAAGGGGGGAUGCAUUCUGUUAGUGGAUGUAAUUCAGAUCAUGUUCAAAAACACAGAUAAGUCAAAAUCAAAGAAAACAAUUGGAGUCCUCUCUGAUUUCCAGCAGCUUCCACCUUCCCUCAUUUUUCACGCCUUGACCACCACCCAGACCUUCUUUGUUCCCGACCCUGGACACAGAUGCCCUUGUAUUUUCUGCUACUCCAGCUCACCUCUCAGAACAGGCUCAGACCCAAACUUGGAGACCAGAUGAAAUCUGGGCUCAGGACAGCUUGGAAUGGGGGUUCAUGCUGGAGUGACCCUUCUAGCACCUGCCACCAACCCAGAGAGACCAUCCCUAACCCCCCUUUCUAAAAUACCACACCCUCCCUUGUGGGUGACUAUCUACUCCCUUAUUCUGCACCAUUUUCCUUCAUAACACUUACCACCACCUGGAAUUAUGUACUUGUUUCCUUGGUUAUUUUCUGUCUCCCCAGGAGAAUACAAGUGACGUGAGGGCAGGGACACUGUCUCCAACUUCAAACAGUAUAUGUUGGCUGCAUGAAUGAUCCCAUUCAGUGUAAGGUUUGGCCAUAUCCCAGCAACGAUUCAUAAGGCAUUGGUACCACCGAUUGGUAUUCCCUCUAUCUAGAAGAUUCUCAUCUCUCCCCACAAACCCACUACACCCAUUCUUUAUCUCCUGAAUCUCUGUUCAGCCUUCUAAGUCCUCUCACAGUGGCCACAGUCAAGAAAUAAUCCUUCCUUCCUCUGUCUCAUGAAAUCUUUGGCUCUUACGUUAGUCACACAUACCCUAAUCCAGUCCUCCAAAUGGGUAGUGAUUAAUUAAUUAAUUGUGCCUUAAGCAUCAAAUAUGUGAAUGAAUGAAAACUAAAUGACCGAAUUUGGGGCUAAGCAGAUUUCCUGGACAAGGAUUGAAUUCUAAUCACUCUCUAUAAACAACUACAAUAUCAUUUCUUUAGAGGUUACUUAUGGAAUUAUUUUGGUUCAAAUACUGGAGUUAUAAUCACUUCCUUGGUAGAUAUAUGCAUAAGCCAAAAUGUAGAGUUCCUUUCCUAUUCUUUUGAGAAAUGAAUGGUUUUGCAUUAUUACAUGUGCUAAGGCUUUGUCUAGACACCAUCUAAUACAGAGGUGAGUAAGGCAGAUAAUUCAAGCCAUUACUACCAAAUAGCAGAAGCAAAAAUGGAGUUUUUCCUUUAAUUAUCCAAGCAAUUAGCUGAAUCCCUCACUUAAGGUUUCCUAGGGAGACACCAUCCAAAUCUCAUAAACGCAUUUGACUCACACAGUAGUCAGCAAAGACUGGGCACCAGCUAAUCCUCUCUGUCCGAGUUGAAGCACAUUUCCAAAACAGAGGUGAGCAGGUGUUCUUAAGCAUCCAAAAAUGGCAUUUUCCACUGAGUAUGUUGGAGGGACCUCCUCCCCUCCUCUUUUCCAUCUUCAUGAUGAUUUGCACUUAGGGUCUUUUUCAAUCAAGAGACUUCACGUUUUCAUGACAUUAUUUGGUGACUAGUAAUGAGAGGUUGAAAAAAUAAAAUUAACACUGAAAAAUUAGAGUUUCCCUUUAUCAGGGCACCAUUUAGCCAAUGAAAAGUAAAAGGGCAUUAGGAUUUUGAAUCCUUGAAAAUUUUUCAUGGUAUCUUUCUUACAAGGUCAGUAUUAGUUAAGGUUAAUUAGUUGUUGUAACAAACUCCAACAUAUAACACAAUAGACAUUGUUUUUGUUGCUCAUAUAGUGCCCAAAAUGGGUGUAAACACGGCCUCUUUUCCAUCUUGUGACUCCUCCAACUUAUGGCUUCCAAGGUUGCCAUCAAAGGGGAUCGUGUGUAUGAAGUUUUCAGGGGCCAUAACUGGAAAGGUAUGUUUCGUUUCUGCCUACAUCCUAUUGCUGGGACUCAGUUACAGGAACUUGCCUAACCACAAAGCAUCCUGGGAAAUGAAGUUAACCGCCUGCCUAGGAGGGGGAAAUGGGAUUGGUCUUUGCCACAGUCUUUGCCACAGGACUUAACCUCAGCCCAGGACAUUCUUUCCCCGGUCUUUCUGAUGGACGUAUACUGUGGGAAGACAUUGUAUGUUUUAGACAGUUUCCCAAUCUUUCUCUAUUGACUUAAAAAAUAAACUCUUGACCUGGAGUGGAAUAAAAGUAGCUCAAGGAAAAAGAAAAACAAAGUCCAAAAGACUGAAGACAAAUCUCUUCCUUUUAUAGGGACUCUGGGGGCUUCUAGUCUGGCUUUUACAUAACCACUUCGGCUUCUUUCUCGUAGAACAUAGUCCCAGGCCAUGGCAGGUACUGAGAUCAUUAUCAUUAUGAUGGUGCUCAAUUCCCCAAUGCUAUGUACUUUUUGGAGGCAGAAAAUGGACCCUGGGCAUAAUGCUUCCCCCGAGGAAGCUAAAAAGACAUGAAAUUGGAACAGCUCUGGAAGUCAGACCAGAACAGGAGAGAAUGUAUAUUUUGGAAGUAGUAACACACACUCAGAAAAUCAGGCCAUUUUUCUGAAAGAGAGGAUGUGAUGAGACAGAAAAUUAUAAAUUGCAUCAGUAUCAGAAAAUUAUAAAUUGCAAUGGAAAACAUACAAUUUAAACACAUGGACAUUUCGGUUCAUUAUCUGAAUCAGAUGGGUUUAUUUUGAGUCACCCCAACUCUCUUAUUCAGCCACACUUUGGUACUUUUGAGACCAUGGACUAAAAGGAGGCUAAGAGGCUUUAAAAAGUAUCAAACUUCUGAUGUUCAUCACAUCAGCACCCAGCAUGUGACUAAUCAAGGUAAACUAGUCACAAGGGAAAACUGAAUUGUAAGCGCAGGUAGAAAAAUAAAACUAGCAACUUCGUAUCGAGAUUGAAUUUAUAUGAAAAUAUGAUUCUACUCAACAUUGCCUUAAGUAUUCCAUCUACUUUAGGAAGCACUAAAAGCUGUGUGCUUCUGUUAUGUACAUGUGGGCAAACGCACUCCACAUAAUUCAUUCUGUACCAUAUCUGGGAUUUUAUAAAAAUGUUUUCCAAAGGCUUAAAUUUCUGUUCUGUAUUCAGUUCUUAGGAGAAGGAAUUGAAUAAAAUGCCAAGGUCUUUCAAAUAGCUUCAUUAAUUUAUGAACCUCAAUCAUUUUUCUUUUCUUUACCCUCUGGAGAGGAAACUGAAGAUAAAAGAAAAAAGAGUGAGACUUAAAAUAUAAUGCAUUCGCACUGGAAAAUACGACCAUGCCUCAUUUUUAAAUUAUUUUGUCUGGAUUAUUUCAUUCAUCCUGAUCAUUUGUGAAAUUUUAUCAUGAGAUUGGCAGGUGAGGUACUGACCCUGCUUCUAACCCAACAUGGACUUGGAGAAAGUGGCCCCCGCGCCUUCCAGCUGUGACCUUGGACCUUUGCUCUGGUCCCUGGAACAGGGCACACAUAUUUUUACACUUGAGUUUGAUAGGUUUAAAAAACGGGAGUGACUAACUGGGAAGAUUUAAUGCUUUGAAGGGGGAAGGAAAGGAGUACACUGGGUGACAGCAAUUCACUCUCCAGAGUGGAAUUUUCUCACUUUCCUACUGUUUAUAUUUGACACGAGAUCCAUUCACAAACAUCUCUUGUAAGAUGCUGCUUCUCGGCAGGGCAAGCUCUUUGGGGGCUGCAAACUACACUUAUCCAUCCAACUAUCAAGCUUAUCUCGUGGCUGUUCUUACUGACUUACUCUUCACCCAGAAUCUCUGUGAGGACGAGACAGUGAGAACCAGAAAGGACUGUGAUUAGGGAGAUGAUACUGUGAUAAUUAGACACGGAGUUUUCAAAGGUCAUCUCAGCAUCUACCUUGGCAUAGAGUUCAGCGAAUACAAACUUGACUUCCUCCAAGUUCUUUUCUCCCCCUAAACCCAGCCACACAUCGUUGGUUCUGUCCCUCUGAAGUCCCUCCAUGAAUGCAGAGGAGCCCAUAGAGAAUCCCACCCAUAAUGGGCCGUCUGAGGCCCCUGGCAUCCAAGGCCCAUGGCAUUGUUGAGGGAGGACCCAGCCGCUGCUUCCUAAAUAUAUUUGCCACUUGGUUACCAGCUGGAGAUGCAAAGAGAGGCAGAGAAAGAGACAGAAGGCACGGAGGGCUGCGUUUUCUAAAUGGUUUCAAGCCACUGGCCUUUCAACAACAGCUAACGCAGAACAGAUGGCUGUGCUACGCUCGGCUGGCUUUCAACUGAGGGGCUGCCUCUGUCCAUGAUUAAUCACCUGUGCUGGGGGAUGGCACUGGGGCAAAAGGAUAACAUGGCCACUUCCUUCCUCCCGUCCUACAAACAAGAUAUCCUUUUACACCAUGAGUCCUACAGAAGUUACCUCUUCACUCUUGUUUCCUCUGUGUGGAUGGGGUCUGAGAUGGGGGAGUUGUGAUGCAGCACACAUGGAAUUCUCUGCUGGUUCAGCCCAACUGGAAAAGAACAUGAUUCCAGCUGCAGGAUCUUUGAGGGUGAAGGGGAGUUACUCUUCCACAUUGAUCUUUGUUUUCUCCAUCACGGGUUCAUUUUCAGCUCAACAGCAAAAACCCCAAAAGCGGGGGAGUGUCGUACCCCAUACCAACUCUUGUCUGGAGAAGUUUGGGGAGAAAAUCAGGUCAGCCACAGCCAGGGAGGAUUAAGCAGGUGGAUUUGUGGCUGGAGAAGGCCAGCGUGUGCUCUAGGCUAGACAGAAUGUAUUAGUUCUCUAUUUCUACGUCACAGAUGACGACAAACUUCGGGCUUCAAAUGACAUCCGUUUAUUAUCUCACGGUCUCCUGGGGUCGGGAGUCUGGGAAGUUUCUUCUCUGCUCAGGCCCUGGCAAGGCAGAAAUCAAGGUGUCAGCAGCUUUUUUCUGCAGUUCACACUCCUCUCCCAGGCUCACAUGUGGUGGUGGCAGAACUCAGUUUCUGGGGGUUGCAGGACUGAAGUCCCUGUUUGCUUGUCAGCUGCCAGCUGGGGCCCCUCUCAGCCCCUGGAGACUUGAAUUUCUUACCACGUGACCCCCUCCAUCUUCAAAGCCAGCAGUGGAGAAUCUCUUUCUUCAGAAAGAACCCAGUCCUUUCUAAGAGCUCAUGUGAUUACGUCUUAAGUACUGGUUAAUGUCGCUAAAAUGUAUUUUGUUUUUGUAAAUUAGGACUUUAUGUAGUUAGAUUUCCAGUGGUCAUAUGCUUCAACUUGAAUACUGAGAAUGAACAUUAUUCUGGUGAAUAUUUAAUUCUGGGGGUUAAGAAAAUAUCAAAAGGCAUGUCCUAGGCACCAAAACAAAAAAACAAAAGAAACUGAGGAGGGUACAGGCACAACCAGAUUGGCUGUAGACACCACAGGUCACUUCCAUUGAUCACAGAGGCCCAGCCUUAGAGGGCAAAUCCAAGCAAGUCAGUUCAGUCUUUGGUGGAGACUGGAAAUGAAUAGCUUUCAAUAUGUGUUUGAACCACAGAAUUUUUUUUUUCAAAUGAAAUGUACGUGGAAGUCCAUUUUAUACAAAUUUUUUAAAUUUUACAACAGUCUUAUAGGACUUAUUGUGUGCCAGACACUGUCCAAAGUGCUUAAAAUCAAAUCCUCAUAACAGUAUGAAAUGGGCAUCCUUCUCAUUAUUGUUGUCAUUGUCAUUAUUCACAUUUUACAGGUAAAGAACCUGAGCUGCAGAAAGAUGAAAUGCCUUGCCCAAGAUGGCAGAGAGGAUUUUGAACCCAGGAAAACUAGGCUCACGGUCCUUGAGCACUUGGCAGAGAUGUUGUUGUCAUGGAGACAGCUUGGAGGGUGGAGUGGUCCGAUCUCCUAGCUGCUGAGCCCCUCCCUCCGUUUUUCCCUGCACCCCCUCCCUGAGGCUUCCUCAGUGCACACCCCGCCCAGCAGACACUUUGAAAACCAGAGGUUUGAAUCACGCACACGCUGCCUCCAUGGGGCCUCCUAGAGGCUACUUUCGUUUGCACUGUUUCUCAGAGCGCUUUCAGGGGACCCCCAUUAACCCAAUUCCUCAGCCAGGACCUCUCCUUUGCCUUCUUGCCACAAUCUUUGCUGAAGCACAUCUCACCCACUUCUGCUGCCACUCUGGCCUCCUUACGUGUCUGGCCACCUCUGGUUUUCCCCUUAUCCUAUUCCACGUACUAUACACUAUGACUUCCUCUUCCUAAACCCCCUCAGAACAUGGCAUAUCCUGUUCGUGAUGCUGCCCUGGUUCCCUAGUGCCCACCACCUCUUAGAUUGGCAUCUGCAGCCCUCUGGGUCUGAUUCCACUGAUCUUUCUCAUGACUGUAAACCAAAUGUUCUAGGCAAGUGAGAUAACCAUCCCUCCUGGCGCACAAGGUGUUCACUUACCACCUCUAGGUCUUUGCUCCAAACUCCCAGAGCAUUUCUUCCAUGGGGCGUUCAAUUUUCUACCGGCUGUGAUUAUUACAUACUUUUUCUAGGCUACAAGCUCCUUGGAAAUAAUAGACAUAUUCAUCUUUUAAUUCUCCCCUGAACACAACAGCCACUCACACGGAAAAGUAUGAGACAACAUUCUCCCCAAAGUCCUGGGAAAUAGAUUGUUAUCAUCCCCAUUUAACAGAUCAGUAAAUUAAGACUCAGAUACGAGUGACUUCCUCAUCUCCAUAGAAAAAAGAAAAGGGCAGAUGGGAGCUGACACAUGGACCUGUUGAUGGAGGGGAAAAAUGCAAAAAUACUUGGAGACAAAUUGCUCUCUGGAGGCUUCAGUUAGAAUCAGCCUUAUUAUCUUCAUAGAAUCAACAACCACAACAGUUUAUGACUACGAGUGAUGGUUCAGAACUGGGGUGCACACCGCAGUUACCCAGGGGUAGCUUUUGUAAAAGGUCCACACCAGUCCUUCUGGAGCAGAAUCUCUGCAGAAGAGGCUUACCUGUGAGUGUUCCAGAAAAAAAAAAUUAUUCCCUGAAGACUCUGGUGUGUUCCCCUGUUUAAGAACCACCAAUUCGCAAGGGUCCCAAAGGCCCCAGUCUCCCAAAUUACCCCAUUCGAUGUGUAAAACUCCAUCAUUAGAGACUUGCUAAGAUACUGCUCUCUACUUAAAUGCAAGUUAACGUUAAAUCUUAUCACUUAUUCUGUAAGGAUUCAAGAAGCACUACUAUGUGACAGGCCGGCUGACUCUGUCUAUAUCUGUCUUAUGGCUCUUCUCAUGUGUAUAUUAUCUGAUAUCUGCUCUCUCUACUGUUAGGUUAUUUCUUGCCAAAUAGCCCCAGAAUUUUUUCAUCUUCUCCUCCAUCUUAGCAGCUGGCUCUUGUACAUAGUGAGUGCUUUUCAUUUGUGAAAUGUAUGAAUCCAUGAAUCAUGGGACUCACACCUCAUCAGGAAUGAGUUUACAAGCUUCUUUCAAGGAGCAGACUUUGAUAGACUCAGGCACCGCCAAUUUCCAAGCCAGCUGUGCAAGGCAUGAACAGUCUCCCAGCCUUGGUUUCCUCAUCUGUGAAGGGGGCCCAAAAGCACAGCUCCUGGCUCAUCGUAGGUGCACAAGACAUGUCCAUUGUCACCUCUCCUUGUGGAUUAAGCCCCUGAUGGUGUAUCUGAGCAGUGGGUGGGGAGGUGGAAACAGGGGCGUGAAAUCCUGUCGUGUAGACAGCCGUCCACCCUGACGUCCGGCCUGCCCACUCCGCUCCUGUGUGCAUUCCACAGGGGCAGGACUGAGCGGCCUGGACCGUCCUUGGCACACGAGUAUGUGACUAUAAAGCAUGCCGUAACCUUGGAAUCCAGACAUCAAAAGGGAGAGCUUCAGUGCCUGAUAAAAAUAUGUGUUCCUCUCAGCAAACCACUCCAAACGCCGUCUUCUCCAUCCCACUGGGAAGCUUGUCACUGCUAAUGCGAUUCUUAUGAUUCUCGCUGCUCAGUACCCUCUUGAUCUUUCCUGAGAUCUCUCUGCCCCGAGUGUGUAGGAAACAAAAUGUCCUGUCUGCUGUCCAGAGCUUAAAAUAACAGAUGCUGGGUUCCUGCUGCCACAUUGAAACUUUACUCCAAGGUCUCUCCCCAGCACCCCUGCUCCCGCCCCUCCCCAUGCCCGGAGCAGAAGUCUAGUGUGAGCACCAGACAAAGAAGGGGAAGGAGGCAAGGGGGCAGGGGUGGGGGGAGGGAGGCCUUCUCAGACCACCGCGGGCACUCUUGAGGAUCAAACUGGUUGUUCAGAAAGAUCGACUUCUUAAGUUGUGAGACAUGUUUUAGGGAAAGAUUCUUCCUAUCUCUAAAGAAGAGAACCGCAUUUCCCAAGCGUCACUGCCUAGGAGCAUGUUCGAGGUUGCCCAGCCUGUAUUCCGCACUGGUGAAAGGAGGGCGGUGUGUAUUUCUGUAUGUGCCUUUUUCUGCCUGGGGAAUAAUAAAAUAAGUCCCCCC
Molecule: long non-coding RNA, 14209 nt
Organism: Orcinus orca (killer whale)
Lineage: Eukaryota; Metazoa; Chordata; Mammalia; Artiodactyla; Delphinidae
Exons: 2
Source: RefSeq, a predicted model, not a curated record